This 75-nucleotide small nucleolar RNA is filed under the name Dasypus novemcinctus (nine-banded armadillo). Its description in RNAcentral is "Small nucleolar RNA SNORD103/SNORD85". It matches the Rfam family "Small nucleolar RNA SNORD103/SNORD85". From Rfam's summary of the family: This family includes the snoRNAs SNORD103 (U103) and SNORD85 (HBII-251) . Lineage: Eukaryota; Metazoa; Chordata; Mammalia; Cingulata; Dasypodidae. The record is from Rfam by way of RNAcentral.
ACUGGCAAGGAUGACACACUUGCCCUCUCUUAGACCUAGGUCAUUGAUGAGAGCAUCUAAUUGUUCUGAGCCAGU